AUUGAACGCUGGCGGCAGGCCUAACACAUGCAAGUCGAGCGGAUGAAGGGAGCUUGCUCCUGGAUUCAGCGGCGGACGGGUGAGUAAUGCCUAGGAAUCUGCCUGGUAGUGGGGGAUAACGUCCGGAAACGGGCGCUAAUACCGCAUACGUCAUGAGGGAGAAAGUGGGGGAUCUUCGGACCUCACGCUAUCAGAUGAGACUAGGUCGGAUUAGCUAGUUGGUGGGGUAAAGGCCUACCAAGGCGACGAUCCGUAACUGGUCUGAGAGGAUGAUCAGUCACACUGGAACUGAGACACGGUCCAGACUCCUACGGGAGGCAGCAGUAGGGAAUAUUGGACAAUGGGCGAAAGCCUGAUCCAGCCAUGCCGCGUGUGUGAAGAAGGUCUUCGGAUUGUAAAGCACUUUAAGUUGGGAGGAAGGGCAGUAAGUUAAUACCUUGCUGUUUUGACGUUACCAACAGAAUAAGCACCGGCUAACUUCGUG
RNAcentral lists this ribosomal RNA (484 nucleotides) under uncultured bacterium. Its description in RNAcentral is "partial 16S ribosomal RNA". It matches the Rfam family "Bacterial small subunit ribosomal RNA", at positions 30 to 507 of the family's 1533-position model. The record is from RNAcentral.